This 491-nucleotide ribosomal RNA is filed under the name uncultured bacterium. RNAcentral's name for it is "partial 16S ribosomal RNA". It matches the Rfam family "Bacterial small subunit ribosomal RNA", at positions 28 to 507 of the family's 1533-position model. The record is from RNAcentral.
GAUGAACGCUGGCUACAGGCUUAACACAUGCAAGUCGAGGGGAAACGACGGGGAAGCUUGCUUCCCCGGGCGUCGACCGGCGCACGGGUGAGUAACGCGUAUCCAACCUGCCUCUGACUGAGGGAUAACCCGUCGAAAGUCGGCCUAAUACCUCAUGGUAUCGUCUGCGGGCAUCCAACGACGAUUAAAGAUUUCAUCGGUCAGGGAUGGGGAUGCGUCUGAUUAGCUUGUUGGCGGGGUAACGGCCCACCAAGGCUACGAUCAGUAGGGGUUCUGAGAGGAAGGUCCCCCACAUUGGAACUGAGACACGGUCCAAACUCCUACGGGAGGCAGCAGUGAGGAAUAUUGGUCAAUGGGCGAGAGCCUGAACCAGCCAAGUAGCGUGCAGGAAGACGGCCCUAUGGGUUGUAAACUGCUUUUAGGCGGGGAUAAAGUGAGGGACGUGUCCCUCAUUGCAGGUACCGCAUGAAUAAGGACCGGCUAAUUCCGUG